Molecule: ribosomal RNA, 495 nt
Filed under: uncultured bacterium
Lineage: Bacteria
Description: partial 16S ribosomal RNA
Rfam family: Bacterial small subunit ribosomal RNA
Source: RNAcentral
GACGAACGCUGGCGGCGUGCCUAAUACAUGCAAGUAGAACGCUGAAGGAGGAGCUUGCUUCUCUGGAUGAGUUGCGAACGGGUGAGUAACGCGUAGGUAACCUGCCUGGUAGCGGGGGAUAACUAUUGGAAACGAUAGCUAAUACCGCAUAAGAGUAGAUGUCGCAUGACAUUUGCUUAAAAGGUGCAAUUGCAUCACUACCAGAUGGACCUGCGUUGUAUUAGCUAGUUGGUGAGGUAACGGCUCACCAAGGCAACGAUACAUAGCCGACCUGAGAGGGGGGUCGGCCAAACUGGGACUGGGGCACGGCCCAGGCUCCUACGGGGGGCGGCAGUAGGGGAUCUUCGGCAAUGGACGGAAGUCUGACCGGGCAACGCCGCGUGAGUGGAGAAGGUUUUCGGAUCGUAAAGCUCUGUUUUAAGGGGAGAACGAGUGUGGGAGUGGACAGUUCACACUGUGACGGUAUCUUACCAGAAAGGGACGGCUAACUACGUG